GGCUGGUCCACAGGUAGUGGGUUCUCUCAAUUGACUGUUCAGUCAGGUACAGAUUGAACUCCUUGUUCAACUCUUUCCCCCUUCUCACCACUGCACUUGACUAAUCUAAA
Molecule: Y RNA, 110 nt
Filed under: Microcebus murinus (gray mouse lemur)
Lineage: Eukaryota; Metazoa; Chordata; Mammalia; Primates; Cheirogaleidae
Description: Y RNA (ENSMICG00000047066.1)
Rfam family: Y RNA
About the family: Y RNAs are components of the Ro ribonucleoprotein particle (Ro RNP), in association with Ro60 and La proteins. The Y RNAs and Ro60 and La proteins are well conserved, but the function of the Ro RNP is not known.
Source: Rfam by way of RNAcentral